GGAUGAUCUCAUCCCCAGAACCUUAACUCAAUUACAUCUGCAAAGACCCUUUUUUUUUUUUUCCAAAUAAGAUCAGAUUGACAGUUGCUAGGAAUUUUGACAUGGGUACGUAUUUUGAGGGACCACCAUUCAACCCACUGUGAGGAGUGGGUUACUUUUUAGUUCAUAUAAGAAAUUAAAACAUUGCUCAAUUUCAUCAAAAUUGUGGGAAAGCCCAUCCCACAUAUUACUGAUUCCAGAAGCAGUAAGAAUGGCAGCAGCAGCCUGAAGGGCCUCGGAAGGCAUGCAGUCUAGCUUUCUAAGGGGCACCAACAGGCACAGGCUCAUGGAAAAAAGUGCUCUUGAGAAAAACCUGGACUCAGAAGAGCCUGGACCACACAAACGCACCCCAGCUUCUUUCUGAGAUCAUUUUCCUGUCUGCCCAAGGGAGGUUCUCCCUCAAGGGUGCCAUCCAUCCUCCUCCAGCCUGUGAAUCAUCUGCUAUUUCUGAAACCCAGAGUGAUGAACGAGUCAGCCCAGGGUAGCACCGUGCCUUCAUCUGCAUCAGACAACCUGAGAAUACUCAUUUCAUUUCACUUCUGACCUUUUUGCUAUUCUGCAAACCCACAAGAUCUGGGCUGCAUAAUAAUAUCUGAGGAUCAGAGGCAAGGUGAGAUUAAGCUGGCUGACUUCGUUGAAGGAAAACAAGAAACCAGCCUCUGCCUCUCGGGUCCCUGAGUCAGGCCCUGGUUCCUGGACAGAGUGGGCGGGCCUUGGAUGCUGAUAAUUGAAGGCGGCACCUCCGGAGGAGACGGUGACUCCUGCAAAGACGUCUGGUGGGAGUCCAGUCUUAUAGAGAGGUGAGGGCCCUGCCAGCCCACGGCCCCAGGAUGUCAGUCACUCAGCUGUUUCUCUUCUCAGACAGGCAGGGCCGGCGAGCUCUGGCCAUUCCUGGGUUGGGUGGCUCAGAGAGCCAGUAGACAUGUCACAGAAGCCAGGGCCCCCGGAGUGGCACCAUCUGGCCCAAGGCUCAUGUUAAUACAGCCAGCACUAGCCACCCGGAACUGCAGGGGACACUCCAGCAGGGACACUCCUCUGGGCCUCUGAGUCAGAGCCACCUUCUUCAAGAAGAUGCAGGCCUCCCCUCACCACUGACUCUUUGCUCUCCCUCCAGCAGGGGUGAGUCAUGCUGUCACUUGCAGGUUCAGACUGGACAAAGUGGUGUGGGUGACUCACCUGGAUGAAGACCAGGACAUGGGGUGUCAUUUCCUAUUUAUCUGUAAUACAGAUGAAAACCCAGGACGUGUCCAACGAGCACGGACAAGGACACUCAUUACUAGCCGGUAGGGAAAAGCAAAUUAAAUAGGCAAAUUCAUAGAGACAGAAAGUAGAAAAGAGGUUGCCAGGGCCUGGGGGAGGGGGAACAAAGAGCACUUUCAAUGAUAGUUAAUGUCUGGGAAGAUGAGAAAGUUCUGAAAAUAGGUAGGUGGUGAUGGUUACAUAACAUUGUGAAUGUACUUAAUGCCACAGAAUUAUACACUUAAGGUGAUUAACAUGGAAAAUUUUAUGUUAUGUAUCUGUUAUCACAAUUAUUUUUUUUAAUCCCAGGGCAAUGCGACAUGGGAAAACUCAUGAAAGUGGCCCACAGAGCCACUUUGUGGCUGGUCCCUCUCUCAGACCCCAUCCCUGUGUCCUCAACUUCUUCAUCUUUGCUGGUUUCAUUCCCUCCCUCAAGCCCAGAAACAAACAGUUUCUCCUACAAAAAAGAGGAAAAUUAAGUUCCUGUGGAAACUUCACCACCUGUUAAAAAGCUGAGGGAGGGCCUGGCCCUAUUUGCCGUGCAAGUGUGUCCGCAGGACCUGCUUUUAGAACAUGCCGAUUCGCCCCGGAAAUGCAGGUGUGGCCUUCUCCCACAGGUACAGGGACAGGCACUCAUGGGCCCAGAGGCAUCUGGGGCUAAAGGUUGUGUUUGUUUUUAUUACAUAUUAGCCAUUGUCAUCCCCCUCGCGCCCCCUCAAAAUAGACAUCUGAUUAUCACCAAUUUAAAACCAGCUUUUCCUCUCACUAAAAAUUCAGUAUGAAGCCAUUGUAGUAGAAUUCC
This 2080-nucleotide long non-coding RNA is filed under the name Homo sapiens (human). RNAcentral describes it as "HSALNT0169961". Lineage: Eukaryota; Metazoa; Chordata; Mammalia; Primates; Hominidae. The record is from RNAcentral.